RNAcentral lists this long non-coding RNA (318 nucleotides) under Gossypium raimondii (Peruvian cotton). RNAcentral describes it as "long non-coding RNA (GRAI_LNC009610)". The record is from RNAcentral. Lineage: Eukaryota; Viridiplantae; Streptophyta; Magnoliopsida; Malvales; Malvaceae.
CGCGUUUUGAUGUUAGAAUGGGCCUGCUGGUUUGGUGUUUAGUUGUAUGUUAGUGUAUCUUUAGGUCGCGUGUUUGAAUCCUUGUAUGUGCAUUUUAGAGAAAUAUUUGUAUUUUGUUAAAUAGUAGAUUUGUUUUAAGUUUAAAAAUAACUUUUUAUUUUUAUUUUUUUACUGCUUUCUUUCUUUUCACGUUCUCAUCUCCCUCUCAUUGGUUCCCCUUUCUUUUUUUUCCUUUUUCUUUUUUUCUUUUGGAAAACAGUUUUGUUUAUGGUUUUCGGAGAGCUUAGGUUUCUUUGUCGUUGAGUCGGUGUUUGGACA